This 30-nucleotide non-coding RNA is filed under the name Rattus norvegicus (Norway rat). The record is from RNAcentral. Lineage: Eukaryota; Metazoa; Chordata; Mammalia; Rodentia; Muridae.
UCCCUAAAGUAGAUGGUACAAGACCAUGGU